RNAcentral lists this non-coding RNA (23 nucleotides) under Cricetulus griseus (Chinese hamster). Lineage: Eukaryota; Metazoa; Chordata; Mammalia; Rodentia; Cricetidae. The record is from RNAcentral.
CAUAUGGACUGGGAAAAAGUUGC